This 567-nucleotide ribosomal RNA is filed under the name Schistura sp. 8165D. RNAcentral describes it as "partial 16S ribosomal RNA". It matches the Rfam family "Bacterial large subunit ribosomal RNA", at positions 1852 to 2619 of the family's 2925-position model. The record is from RNAcentral. Lineage: Eukaryota; Metazoa; Chordata; Actinopteri; Cypriniformes; Nemacheilidae.
CCAACCUGCCCAGUGACUACAAGUUCAACGGCCGCGGUAUUUUGACCGUGCAAAGGUAGCGCAAUCACUUGUCUUUUAAAUGAAGACCUGUAUGAAUGGCCAAACGAGGGCUUAGCUGUCUCCCCUAUCAAGUCAGUGAAAUUGAUCUAUCCGUGCAGAAGCGGGUAUUAACAUACAAGACGAGAAGACCCUUUGGAGCUUAAGGUACAAAUCCACCUACGUCAAACAGCUUACUAAACAAGCGUAAACCUAAUAGAAUAUGGAAUUUUACCUUCGGUUGGGGCGACCGCGGAGAACAAGAAAUCCUCCAAGUGGAUUGGGAACUUCCCUAAAACCAAGAAAGACAUUUUCAAGUCACAGAAAUUCUGACCAAACAUGAUCCGGCCGCCCAGGCCGAUCAACGAACCAAGUUACCCUAGGGAUAACAGCGCAAUCCCCUCCAAGAGUCCAUAUCGACGAGAGGGUUUACGACCUCGAUGUUGGAUCAGGACAUCCUAAUGGUGCAGCCGCUAUUAAGGGUUCGUUUGUUCAACGAUUAAAGUCCUACGUGAUCUGAGUUCAGACCGG